CGUAAACAUAACCUAAAAGUAUAUCAUCCAUCAUUCACAUCCAAGCAUCAAUCAAAACACAAUGCAUACCAUGAUAUUAUCUCAUCCAUUUGAACAUUAGACAUAAAACAAAACAACCUAACAAGUCAUCAACAACAAACCAUUAACAUCACAUGCAUACAUAUAUAUACAUAGCCUUCAAAAUGCCAACCAACAUAAUGACUUAUAAAUAUAAAAAAAUUCCUAGGUACAUGCUAAGACCAAAAGAACAAUUCACCAACACUUGAGUUCGGGAUUGCCUCUGGAUGUUGAGUUGAUGAUUGAUUCUUUAAGUACCUAACUUGCGCAUGGAAAACAAAAUCAUAUGUUGAUAUAACUCAAUGGUAUUUCUAUAAUAUGAACAUUUAAAACAUAAUAUAAGUCAUAAUGAUGCAUAAACUUAAUAAAGAUAAUAUGCAAUAUAUAAACUCAAUAGGCUAAUUCACAUAGUCAUUAAUCCCAGUAUGCUCAUUUUACCAGUAUUAAGACAUAGCAAUCACAUUUCAUAAGUCAUUUGCAAAUUAAACUAAUGUAAUGGCACAUUUCAUCUCAAUUUCUCAUUUCAAGUGUUCAUUGAACAAAUACAAUCAAUAUUCAUAGUUCAAUCUAUUAUUUCAUAUUACAUUUCACAUUUCAUUUCAUUUCAUAACAUUUAUUAUUUCAGUAGCAUCGCUAUUUCAAUAGCAUUUCCAUUUCAAUAUCAUUAUCUUGAUUUCACCAUUUAUUUCCCUAUUAACACGACUUAAACUUGAAUGGAUACAAGGAUCCAACCAACACACCAGUUUAGCACCCAGUGCCUCAUCCAAUAAAUCUGAAACAAUUAGUUAUGCCUAGUGUUAUAAAUAAGUUUGACACCCAGUGUCUUAUUGGUUAAACAGAAGCAAAUUGGCACCCAAUGACUUGUAGUCGAAGUAACCCUGAACUCUUCCUAUCCUAUGACAUGCCAACUAUAUUCGACUCUGCUCGGACAGUUAAUAGGGUAUUUAAUUCAUUCUUCUAUAUCAUUCAAUAACUCAAUUCACAUCAAUUUAAUCAUGAACUCAUUCAUUCAAACAUAUGGAAACAUCAAAUAUCUCAUUUUGUAGUCAAUUUCCAUAUUUAUAUGAAUAUACGCAUGUUUUUCACAUAUAAUCAAUUUAGCCCCUAUAAUCAUCAAUCAAUUCAAAUCAUCUCAAUUAAACAAGGAACCUCACCUUACAUUCUUACCAUGCAUAACCAAAUCAAAAUGCAUCAAUUACAAGUUAGUUCGGAUUAUAAAAACACAAACCGUAAACUCUAAGCUAUUCGUUGAUAAAUUUGUCUUUUCCUUUCUUUUUCGAGGAAUACAGGUCGACGUUAGCCACAGAUUAGAAAAACAUAAUAAAUUAUCAAUAAAACGUCAAUUUCACAUUCAAUUUCUAAUUUAUGAAAAUUUUACAUUUUAUUCAAUUUAGUACCUAAAAUCGAGACUAACAUAACUUUCACAUUUAGCCUCAAAAUUUUAUACUAUUUUCAUUCUAGGUCUAAUUUAACUUUAUUUUUCACAUUUCUACCACUAAAUUUAAAAUUUGUUUAUUUUAGACCCUAUUGCACAAAUUUAACAAUUGACUUUACAAUCUAGUCCUUAGUCAAUUCUAAACUUAAAAUUUAUCAAAAUAACACCUCAAACUCCAAAUAUUCAACAAUGGUAACAUUCUAAAUCUUUAACAGUUCUAAAAAUUAUGACAUGGGUCAGCUAAUUUGGAGUACCGAGAUUCCAAAAACAUAAAAAUUACAAGAAAAUGACUAAAUUGAACUAACCAAUUUAAGGUUUGAAACUUUGAAAACCUAGUCGUGCCCAAUCUCCCUUUCUAUUUUGCUUCGAAAUAUUUUGGAUGAAAAGGAAAUAAUGUUUCUCUUUCAAUCCACUAAUAUCAUCUUUUAAAUUUCUUUUAAUUUUAUUUAUUUUUAUUUUAUUAUUAUUUCUUUAAUUUAACUAAAAUUUAUAAUAUAAAAUAUAUAUAACACUAAGUUUUAACCAGUCACAUAUAUAUUAUUAUAUAAUGGUUUAUUUACUUUAUAAGUCUUAUAUAUUAAAUUCUAAUUGUAAUCUCUUAAUAAUUCUUACUUUAAUCACUUACGCGAUUUAGUCCCUAUACUCUAAUUAAACACUAUUUCGAUGAAAUUACCUAUCCGAAAUUCAAUUCACUUCUAAUGAAGCUUCGUAAAUAUUUAAUAAAGAUAUUUACGAGUUUGGUUCACAGAAACGGAGUCUCAAAACUAUACAUUCUGAUACCACUAACUUUCAGGUCAUUACAAAGAGACCUAAUAUCCAUAAUUUGCCUAAGUUUUUUCAACGAGCUACCACAACGUUGUGAAUCUGAGUCCGCAGCACAAACAACGACAACACCUGCAUUAUCAAUAAGGUUACCGACAACAUCACUUUUCAUUGCAUGGGAGCUUACAGCACCUUCCUGAUCACCGGUAGAAAAGGAAGAACACUUGCAAGGUAGCAACUUACAAUAUGAAUACAAAAAAAUUUACGAACUCCGCUUUUUACCCUAACAAAAUCAGCCCCAAUUUGUCAAUAGCGCCAUGGGGCCAAGCAAGCUCUGCAGACAACACAAGAUUGGGGUUCACACCACUCGUAAUGUUAACCACCCGAAAACCAUUAGGAAUUGACUCCAAAAGACAGUACCAAAAUAUAUUUCGUACAGUUAGGAAGUGUUCUAAUCUCAGCACGUGACCCUUACAUAACUUUGCAUAUUGGGUAGCGGGGAUCUCAAAAUCAAAGGGUUGCCGCUGCGUGCAAAUGUUUGUACUCGGAAGAGACCAUGUAAUCUGGAAACUAAAAUCAUCUUCAAACUUCUAUUUUAGUUUUAUAGAUUUGCACUGAUUAAUCCGAAGAUUUGACGACCAAUUUCGAAUAAUUGAAUCAAACCCUUCCUAAGGAAAAAAUAAGUCAUCCCCCGCGAAUUCUCUCGAUUUGAAACUUUCAACUAGUAAAUACUUUGAAAAACACACAAUAGGGGAGGUUCAUCUCGAAUACAAUAAUUAAUAAAAUAAGCAACAAGUAUCCACCAAGAAAAACUCGUGAGCUAUCCUGGUGAAAUUUGAUACUCUUGCAGCAUGGUAUAGAAAAACGGAUGAAGGGGGAGGUGGAAGCCCGCCUCUAGUAAAUGCAAAGGAAACAAAAAGCUUUCUUCAAUAUCGUUUAAUCUUCUCUCACCUUUUUUAAUAUCAAAAUCGAAGGUGAAAUUUGACAACUUAAUUCUGCAAAUAAAAAGAUGCCAAAUCAUCUCCACCUUAGUCAUCGUACACCAAUGUAUGUUCUCCUCUAUGAGAACACAAGCAUUGCGCUGCCUCUUGCAACCACCACCUUCAACCUCCACCCUAAAUCAACAACCCUGGUUGCCACGGCUCGUUCGACCACCCCACCCUAUUAUAACUCUAGCCAUAUUAAACAAGCAAAUGCAAAACAAUAUGAGUAAUAGUCGAUUAGCUUACCUAUUAGCAGAUAAUUCCCUCGUUCUGCCAAACAUACACGAUGCCCAGAUCGAAUAGUUCCAAAAAAUUGACAAGGAAGAGAACAACAACAAACUGGGAUAGGAAGAAAAUAUUUGGAAAGAAAAAUUAAAACAAAACAAGAUAUGGAAACAAAAUAUUUAUGAAAAGUAAUUUAAGGAUUCAAGCAAAAUAAGGAAAUGAAAUAUUUAUGAAAAGUAAUUUAGAGAUUCAGGCAAAAAAAUUCUCCCUAAAAAGGGAAAAAAUCAAUUAAAUUUUAGGAAAACAAAUAAAAGAAUAAAAUCCUCAAACAGAAUUUAAGGAGAAGCAAUCUAGGGUUUAAAAAAUUAUUUUACCUUAAGGAAACGAACCGUCUGAAACUUACUCAAUAAGUCUCUACUAAAAAAAUGCCUGAUAAGCCCCCAUUUAUACGAUCUACAUGUGUAAGUUGGUCUCAGAAGGGCCAUUUUAUAACCCUUCUUUGACAAAGUGUGGGACAUAUUGUUAUAGAGUACUUUAGAAAUUGAAAAUCGACCCAGUCACAUGAAACAAAAGGCCUGAUCCAAUUUGCGAGUAGCCAGGGCCUCGCGAAGUGCCAACACCUCCUUGACUUACAAAGUGCCAAGGUGGUCCCUCGCCACCUCGCUAAG
This 4130-nucleotide long non-coding RNA is filed under the name Gossypium barbadense (sea-island cotton). Its description in RNAcentral is "long non-coding RNA (GBAR_LNC017033)". Lineage: Eukaryota; Viridiplantae; Streptophyta; Magnoliopsida; Malvales; Malvaceae. The record is from RNAcentral.